GAUGAACGCUGGCGGCGUGCCUAAUACAUGCAAGUCGAGCGAACAGACGCGGAGCUUGCUCCUCUGACGUUAGCGGCGGACGGGUUAGUAACACGUGGAUAACCUACCUAUAAGACUGGGAUAACUUCGGGAAACCGGAGCUAAUACCGGAUAAUAUAUUGAACCGCAUGGUUCAAUAGUGAAAGACGGUUUUGCUGUCACUUAUAGAUGGAUCCGCGCCGCAUUAGCUAGUUGGUAAGGUAACGGCCUACCAAGGCAACGAUGCGUAGCCGGCCUGAGAGGGCGACCGGCCACACUGGAACUGAGACACGGUCCAGACUCCUACGGGAGGCAGCAGUAGGGAAUCUUCCGCAAUGGGCGAAAGCCUGACGGAGCAACGCCGCGUGAGUGAUGAAGGUCUUCGGAUCGUAAACCUCUGUUAUUAGGGAAGAAAAAAUGUGUACUUAACUAUGCACGUCUUGACGGUACCUAAUCAGAAAGCCACGGCUAACUACGUG
This 497-nucleotide ribosomal RNA is filed under the name uncultured bacterium. RNAcentral's name for it is "partial 16S ribosomal RNA". It matches the Rfam family "Bacterial small subunit ribosomal RNA", at positions 28 to 507 of the family's 1533-position model. The record is from RNAcentral.